UACGAAGGGGGCUAGCGUUGUUCGGAUUUACUGGGCGUAAAGCGCACGUAGGCGGAUCGUUAAGUCGGGGGUGAAAUCCUGGAGCUCAACUCCAGAACUGCCUUCGAUACUGGCGAUCUUGAGUCCGGAAGAGGUGAGUGGACUCCUAGUGUAGAGGUGGAAUUCGUAGAUAUUAGGAAGAACACCAGUGGCGAAGGCGGCUCACUGGUCCGGUACUGACGCUGAGGUGCGAAAGCGUGGGGAGCAAACAGG
RNAcentral lists this ribosomal RNA (252 nucleotides) under uncultured bacterium. Its description in RNAcentral is "partial 16S ribosomal RNA". It matches the Rfam family "Bacterial small subunit ribosomal RNA", at positions 524 to 776 of the family's 1533-position model. The record is from RNAcentral.